GUAGUUUUGUCAUAAAUCAUAAAAAUACAAUAAAUACAAUAUAUUUAGUUAUGUUUCUGUGGUGGCGAACAUAUUCGUGAAAAUAUUCAACCCCCCCUGUCAUGUGUCCACGAGAAGUUUUCGCGAAGAUUGCGCGUGACUUUCAAAUGAUUUGUUUUUUUAUUUUGAACCUAAAUGGUAUACGGGAGGAUUUUUCCUUCCUAAUGGGACAAAUGUUGCCAAUUUUUGGAUUGGGACUAUUCUACAAUGAAGUGCUCUUGGAUACUGUAAUCUAAAUACAUAUGGAAACGAAGAAGUUGCAUUUAUCAGACAG
Non-coding RNA from Paramuricea clavata, 313 nucleotides. Lineage: Eukaryota; Metazoa; Cnidaria; Anthozoa; Malacalcyonacea; Plexauridae. The record is from the annotation of a GenBank genome assembly.